This 759-nucleotide ribosomal RNA is filed under the name uncultured cyanobacterium. Its description in RNAcentral is "bacterial SSU rRNA". It matches the Rfam family "Bacterial small subunit ribosomal RNA", at positions 57 to 849 of the family's 1533-position model. Lineage: Bacteria; Bacillati; Cyanobacteriota. The record is from RNAcentral.
GCAGUCGUACGAGAGUUUUUAACUCUAGUGGCGGACGGGUGAGUAACACGUGAGAAUUUACCUUUAGGAGGGGGAUAACAAUUGGAAACGACUGCUAAUACCCCAUAUGCUUUUGAGUGAAAUGGAUUUAUAUUUAUCCGCCUAGAGAGAAGCUCGCGGCUGAUUAGCUUGUUGGUAAGGUAAGAGCUUACCAAGGCGACGAUCAGUAUCUGGUUUGAGAGGACGAUCAGACACACUGGAACUGAGACACGGUCCAGACUCCUACGGGAGGCAGCAGUGGGGAAUUUUCCGCAAUGGGCGAAAGCCUGACGGAGCAAUACCGCGUGAGGGAAGACUGCCUAUGGGUUGUAAACCUCUUUUUUCAGGGAGGAAUAAAAUGACGUGUACCUGAAGAAUAAGCAUCGGCUAACUCCGUGCCAGCAGCCGCGGUAAGACGGAGGAUGCAAGUGUUAUCCGGAAUCACUGGGCGUAAAGCGUCUGUAGGUAGUUUGAUAAGUCAACUGUUAAAUCUUGAGGCUCAACUUCAAAAUCGCAGUCGAAACUAUUAGACUAGAGUAUAGUAGAGGUAAAGGGAAUUUCCAGUGGAGCGGUGAAAUGCGUAGAUAUUGGAAAGAACACCGAUGGCGAAAGCACUUUACUGGGCUAUUACUAACACUCAGAGACGAAAGCUAGGGUAGCAAAUGGGAUUAGAUACCCCAGUAGUCCUAGCCGUAAACUAUGGAUACUAGAUGUUGAACAGAUCGACCUGUGCAGUAUCAA